GACGAACGCUGGCGGCAGGCCUAACACAUGCAAGUCGAGCGGAGCGGCGGACGGGUGAGUAAUGCCUAGGAAUCUGCCUGGUAGUGGGGGAUAACGUCCGGAAACGGGCGCUAAUACCGCAUACUAUCAGAUGAGCCUAGGUCGGAUUAGCUAGUUGGUGGGGUAAAGGCCUACCACGGCGACGAUCCGGAACUGGUCUGAGAGGAGUAUCAGUCACACUGGAACUGGUACACGGUCCCGACUCCUACGUGAGGCAGCAGUGGGGAAUCUUGGACAAUGGGCGAAAUCCUGAUCCAGCCAUUCCGCGUGUGUGAAGAAGGUCUUCGGAUUGUAAAGCACUUUAAGUUGGGAGGCGUUACCAACAGAAUAAGCACCGGCUAACUUCGUGCCAGCAGCCGCGGUAAUUC
RNAcentral lists this ribosomal RNA (407 nucleotides) under uncultured bacterium. RNAcentral's name for it is "partial 16S ribosomal RNA". It matches the Rfam family "Bacterial small subunit ribosomal RNA", at positions 28 to 526 of the family's 1533-position model. The record is from RNAcentral.